Non-coding RNA from Oryzias latipes (Japanese medaka), 80 nucleotides. The record is from Rfam. Lineage: Eukaryota; Metazoa; Chordata; Actinopteri; Beloniformes; Adrianichthyidae.
GUUUAUGGUGAGUUUUGUUGGUUUGCCUUCAGCUGCGUUCGGUGUUUGCUGUGCAAAUCCAUGCAAAGCCCGCUGUACCC